RNAcentral lists this ribosomal RNA (510 nucleotides) under Rhodocista pekingensis. RNAcentral's name for it is "bacterial SSU rRNA". It matches the Rfam family "Bacterial small subunit ribosomal RNA", at positions 383 to 912 of the family's 1533-position model. The record is from RNAcentral. Lineage: Bacteria; Pseudomonadati; Pseudomonadota; Alphaproteobacteria; Rhodospirillales; Azospirillaceae.
CUGAUCCAGCCUGCCGCGUGAGUGAUGAAGGCUUCGGGUUGUAAAGCUCUUUCGCACGCGACGAUGAUGACGGUAGCGUGAGAAGAAGCCCCGGCUAACUUCGUGCCAGCAGCCGCGGUAAUACGAAGGGGGCUAGCGUUGUUCGGAAUUACUGGGCGUAAAGGGCGCGUAGGCGGCGCUUCAAGUCAGAUGUGAAAGCCCCGGGCUCAACCUGGGAAUAGCAUUUGAGACUGUGAGGCUUGAGUUCCGGAGAGGUGGGUGGAAUUCCCAGUGUAGAGGUGAAAUUCGUAGAUAUUGGGAAGAACACCGGUGGCGAAGGCGGCCCACUGGACGGAUACUGACGCUGAGGCGCGAAAGCGUGGGGAGCAAACAGGAUUAGAUACCCUGGUAGUCCACGCCGUAAACGAUGUCGGCUAGACGUUGGGGCUCUUAGAGCUUCGGUGUCGCAGCUAACGCAUUAAGCCGACCGCCUGGGGAGUACGGCCGCAAGGUUGAAACUCAAAGGAUUUG